RNAcentral lists this long non-coding RNA (658 nucleotides) under Cicer arietinum (chickpea). RNAcentral's name for it is "long non-coding RNA (CARI_LNC003279)". Lineage: Eukaryota; Viridiplantae; Streptophyta; Magnoliopsida; Fabales; Fabaceae. The record is from RNAcentral.
GCACACAACAAAGUCGGUGCAAUCCAAAUAUGGACGCAAUAAUGAUCUAAAAGUUGUGAUGCCUGAAAGUUUAAAAACUCUUUAGACCGAUUAUGUAUAUCAAUUAAUAUCAAGGAUUACAACACAACGGAGAUAAUCCGAAAUUACCUAACUACCGACUGGCCUAUCAAGCAAAUCUCUAAAAGUAACUACAAAAUCACUUAAAAGUAGUAAAAUAGCAUAGCUUUAAAAAUCAUCCCAAAUUCCAACAUCAAAGUUUUAAAUUAAUGUCUUUGUAACUGCCACCACAAUCGAGGCCAAGUGCAUGUUUAAAUUGACAGUAAAUUUUAAAAGUGACGGUAACACCACAUUGUAAUUUAACAAAAUCAUAGUGGCACACAACAAAGUCGGUGCAAUCCAAAUAUGGACGCAAUAAUGAUCUAAAAGUUGUGAUGCCUGAAAGUUUAAAAACUCUUUAGACCGAUUAUGUAUAUCAAUUAAUAUCAAGGAUUACAACACAACGGAGACACUGCGAAAUUACCUAACUACCGACUGGCCUAUCAAGCAAAUUUAAGCUCCACUGAAUAUCUAUUUACCAAUUUUAUGCUAUUUUACUUUUUUCCCAAUUCCUUAUUGUGUACUUAAGAGAAAAUAAAUUAAAAAUCAGUUAGAAAGUGAG